Molecule: ribosomal RNA, 443 nt
Filed under: uncultured bacterium
Lineage: Bacteria
Description: partial 16S ribosomal RNA
Rfam family: Bacterial small subunit ribosomal RNA
Source: RNAcentral
CCUACGGGAGGCUGCAGUGGGGAAUAUUGGGCAAUGGGCGCAAGCCUGACCCAGCAACGCCGCGUGAAGGAAGAAGGCUUUCGGGUUGUAAACUUCUUUUAUCAGGGACGAAGCAAGUGACGGUACCUGAUGAAUAAGCCACGGCUAACUACGUGCCAGCAGCCGCGGUAAUACGUAGGUGGCAAGCGUUAUCCGGAUUUACUGGGUGGAAAGGGCGUGUAGGCGGGUGUGCAAGUCAGAUGUGAAAACUAUGGGCUCAACCCAUAGCCUGCAUUUGAUACUGUACUUCUUGAGUGCGGGAGAGGCAAUCGGAAUUCCGUGUGUAGCGGUGAAAUGCGUAGAUAUACGGAGGAACACCAGUGGCGAAGGCGGAUUGCUGGACAGAAACUGACGCUGAGGCGCGAAAGCGUGGGGAGCAAACAGGAUUAGAUACCCGUGUAGUC